CCGAUUAUUGUUUGUACUAAAUGUUAUUUUUCCUAUUAAAACAAACAAUAAAUUAAUUUAUGUCUUUUUUAGUCACUUUCUGUACAACACCAACCCUGCUCACAAUUUUAACCAAACAUAUCAUGUCAUUAUUUUUGACAAAAUAAAAUCAAACCACAAUUUUAACCAAACACACAUUUUAUAUGAACCAAUAACAGCAAAAGUGAUUUUUUCAAAAUUAAUUUUUUCAAACC
Molecule: long non-coding RNA, 233 nt
Filed under: Populus trichocarpa (black cottonwood)
Lineage: Eukaryota; Viridiplantae; Streptophyta; Magnoliopsida; Malpighiales; Salicaceae
Description: long non-coding RNA (PTRI_LNC004745)
Source: RNAcentral